Molecule: ribosomal RNA, 614 nt
Filed under: uncultured bacterium
Lineage: Bacteria
Description: bacterial SSU rRNA
Rfam family: Bacterial small subunit ribosomal RNA
Source: RNAcentral
GUCGAGCGAGAACCCAGCAAUGGGGGACAGCGGCGAAAGGGACAGUAAUGUGUAGAUUAUCUGCCCUCAGGCCCGGGAUAGCUGCGGGAAACUGCAGGUAAUACCGGAUAAUAUCUCCGGAUCAAAGGUGUGAUUCCGCCUGGGGAUGAGUCUACAUCCUAUUAGCUAGUUGGUAGGGUAACGGCCUACCAAGGCUUUGAUGGGUAGCGGGUGUGAGAGCACGACCCGCGUCAUUGGGACUGAGACACUGCCCAGACACCUACGGGUGGCUGCAGUCGAGAAUCUUCGGCAAUGGGCGCAAGCCUGACCGAGCGACGCCGCGUGCGGGAUGAAGGCCUUCGGGUUGUAAACCGCUGUCAGAGGGGAUGAAAUGCGUGGGGGUUCUCCCCCACGUUUGACAUAGCCUCAGAGGAAGGACGGGCUAAGUUCGUGCCAGCAGCCGCGGUAAGACGAACCGUCCAAACGUUAUUCGGAAUUACUGGGCUUAAAGGGUGCGUAGGCGGCGCGGAAAGUUGGGUGUGAAAUACCUCGGCUCAACCGAGGAACUGCGCCCAAAACUUCCGUGCUCGAGGGAGAUAGAGGUGAGCGGAACUUAGGGUGGAGCGGUGAAAUGC